UAUGGUGGCUAUAGCAGUGGUGUUCACCUCUUCCCAUUCCGAACAGAGAAGUUAAGCCCACUAGCGCCAAUGGUACUGCAUUUAUUGUGGGAGAGUAGGUCGCCGCCAAAA
RNAcentral lists this ribosomal RNA (111 nucleotides) under Geobacteraceae bacterium. Lineage: Bacteria; Pseudomonadati; Thermodesulfobacteriota; Desulfuromonadia; Geobacterales; Geobacteraceae. The record is from RNAcentral.